RNAcentral lists this ribosomal RNA (740 nucleotides) under uncultured bacterium. RNAcentral's name for it is "bacterial SSU rRNA". It matches the Rfam family "Bacterial small subunit ribosomal RNA", at positions 8 to 796 of the family's 1533-position model. The record is from RNAcentral. RNAcentral also lists the same sequence under 1 other name.
AGAGUUUGAUCCUGGCUCAGAACGAACGCUGGCGGCAGGCUUAACACAUGCAAGUCGAACGCACCGCAAGGUGAGUGGCAGACGGGUGAGUAACGCGUGGGAACGUGCCCUUCAGUUCGGGAUAACCCAGGGAAACUUGGGCUAAUACCGGAUACGUGCGAGAGCAGAAAGAUUUAUCGCUGAAGGAUCGGCCCGCGUCUGAUUAGCUAGUUGGUAGGGUAAUGGCCUACCAAGGCGACGAUCAGUAGCUGGUCUGAGAGGAUGAUCAGCCACAUUGGGACUGAGACACGGCCCAAACUCCUACGGGAGGCAGCAGUGGGGAAUAUUGGACAAUGGGCGCAAGCCUGAUCCAGCCAUGCCGCGUGAGUGAUGAAGGCCUUAGGGUUGUAAAGCUCUUUCGGCGGGGACGAUAAUGACGGUACCCGCAGAAGAAGCCCCGGCUAACUUCGUGCCAGCAGCCGCGGUAAUACGAAGGGGGCUAGCGUUGUUCGGAAUCACUGGGCGUAAAGGGCGCGUAGGCGGCCUGAUAAGUCGGGGGUGAAAGCCUGUGGCUCAACCACAGAAUUGCCUUCGAUACUGUCGGGCUUGAGACCGGAAGAGGUCAGUGGAACUGCGAGUGUAGAGGUGAAAUUCGUAGAUAUUCGCAAGAACACCAGUGGCGAAGGCGGCUGACUGGUCCGGUUCUGACGCUGAGGCGCGAAAGCGUGGGGAGCAAACAGGAUUAGAUACCCUAGUAGUCC